AUAGUGUUACAGCGCAGCGGGCAACGCGGCCACACUCACAUGGGCGUUGCAGGGACGCACAGCUCAUGAUGGAGCUCCGUGCUGCGUGGCUGGAGAAAAAAGGAAGCGCAGUGACCACAACAGUAAGAAGUGUGGACUCGCCAGAAUCAUCCAGGCCACCAAGCGAGGCCUCGGUCAGCGCCCACCUUUCAAAGACGGGGAGAAAAAGGCCCAGAGAGAGGAAACAACUUGCCAAAACUUACAUUCUGGGGAUGACAAGAGAAAGCUGAGGGGAGAGGUGGCCCUAAACGCUCAUCAACUAAUAUUGAUGUUUAUGUCUGAGUAAACGUCGGUUUAGCCUCAGAAUCAGAAGACCUUAAGUCAGAGGAACUUUCAGGGCCUCCUGGCCAUCCGGGGUGCCCACGUGCCAAGUCUGCAUGACAAUGGGGGCAUAAGGAGGUGUCAGAAUGGACCUGCCCUCAGAGGAUCUGCAGUCUUGCUCAGGAAAUAUAUCAAAGCAGCUGGAAGACAACUGAUGCUGGCAACCAGACCAAAGGCUGGCGGGAGUUUUGGCAAAGCAAAGUCUGACGGGUACUGUCCGAGCAGGGAAGACCUUACAGACAGGGGGCCUCAAGGGUGGGUGAGACCCGGAAAAACGCAGAGUGGGAGCAGACUCAGGUGGGAAUGGCUGGAAGAGGGGAGCAGAGGCGAGGCGAGAGGGAGGGGUGCUCCAGAAACCUUUGCAAACCAAACCCCGGGAUCUGGGUGGCCAGCGAUGAGUCUGUAAGUGACUCUCAGUGUAGACACCAUUACUUACUAGUUCCAAGUUACUUUUUUUAUCUAGGAGACAAGAAAUAACCUCACAGGAUUUUGACACAACAUAUGAAAAAAAAAUCCACUAAUUAAAAAAAAGAACCAAUGCUCUGACCAAGGAAGGGGUUUCUUUGGCAAAGGACUUAGGAAAACAAAAUCUAGCACAUCUCUGUAUUCUGGGGCUGUGGUCCUUCCUAAGCUCUUAAAAAAACGUUGGCACAGAAAGAUCUUCUUCCACCAGUGACUUCUAGGAACCCAUUCUCGGAAGAUAAACUUGGUCCCGGACUGGCUUGGUGACUCAGAGAAGUGUCAGAUAAAGAUGACCCCAAGACUCAUAGAACACAUGCCCAAUCUCCAGUGACCUGGACUCUACAGAACGCUUGGGCCAGCCCCAGGCAAUACUGGGAACUGAUUUCCCGGUGCACCUUUGAACCCUCUCAGCUCCUUGGUGAGGCCUGUGUAUGGCUUGGGGCCAGGUGCACCUGCACUGGGCACGUCUCCAUUACCUGAAUUCAUGGCCGAGUCUUCCCAGGUUCCAGCUUCAACCUGAGAUGAAAAAUGACCAAAACUCAUUUUCUCGUGGGCAGUAGAGAUGUUACAAAUCCCAGAGCAGGCUUGUAAAUGCAUCCACCAUUUCUUUUUCCUAAAGCCGGUGAGAGACCAUCUUGCUGCUGCCACUCUUCAAAGUUUAGAAACCACAAAAGACAUUCUGAGUUACAUUAUCACUUUAUUUUCCUUUUUUAAAAUGUAACAUUAAAGUCAUCCAACAUACAGACAUUCCUAUGGCUCCUAACACAUUUUAUUCUACCUAAAGUUAAGUAUUUUAGCUAUGAGAUGAUGAAAAUCAUCCCAUUAAAAUGGCAACACUUCUGAAAAAUGGGUUUCCUGUUUAGUGAUGGGAAAUUGACUCCCCAUCCAUCCUC
This is a non-coding RNA of Vicugna pacos (alpaca), 1715 nucleotides long. NCBI's taxonomy places the organism in Eukaryota, Metazoa, Chordata, Mammalia, Artiodactyla, Camelidae. The record is from RefSeq and is a predicted model, not a curated record.